CCUACGGGAGGCAGCAGUGAGGAAUAUUGGUCAAUGGACGGAAGUCUGAACCAGCCAUGCCGCGUGCAGGAAGACGGCUCUCUGAGUUUUAAACUGCUUUUGCACAAGGGUAAACCUGAAUAUGUGUAUUUAGCUGAAAGUACUGUACGAAUAAGGAUCGGCUAACUCCGUGCCAGCAGCCGCGGUAAUACGGAGGGUCCAAGCGUUAUCAGGAUUUAUUGGGUUUAAAGGGUGCGUAGGCGGAUUGAUAAGUUAGAUGUGAAAUGACCGGGCUUAACUCGGGAACUGCCUCUAAUACUGGUGAGCUAGAGAGUAGGAGCGGUAGGCGGAAUGGAUGGUGUAGCGGUGAAAUGCUUAGAGAUCA
This 364-nucleotide ribosomal RNA is filed under the name uncultured bacterium. Its description in RNAcentral is "partial 16S ribosomal RNA". It matches the Rfam family "Bacterial small subunit ribosomal RNA", at positions 338 to 699 of the family's 1533-position model. The record is from RNAcentral.